Molecule: long non-coding RNA, 849 nt
Filed under: Homo sapiens (human)
Lineage: Eukaryota; Metazoa; Chordata; Mammalia; Primates; Hominidae
Description: BOK antisense RNA 1 (BOK-AS1)
Source: RNAcentral
CCCCACGGCGACUGCCAGGACCCGGCCCUCCCCGCCCCGGCCCGGGGCCGCCCACCUCCGCCGCUGGCGUCCUGCGCGCGUGUCCCCGGCCUCGCCGUUCCCGUGGCACCCCGGGCACCCCGGCACGGACGCCACGCCCGCCGCGCUCACCUCUCCCGCCGCAUGGCGCGGGCGCCGGGGUGGAGUUCUGGCUUCAGGAUCUGCUCGCCGCCGACGACGACCUCGACCCUUCCAUUCAGACCCGCGAGGACGCGCGCCCCGCCCCGGCGCCCGCCCCGUCCACGCCCGAGCCGGGAGCGCCAGGUCCACGGGGCUUCCCGCGCUCUUGGGGGGCUCCUGCCGCGGCGUCGGGGGCCUGGGCAGCGAGGGCCUCCAGAGGAACCAGCGCUGCCGACUCCUUGAUUCUAACCCACUGAGGCCUAUUUUGGAUUUCUGCACCCCAGAACUGUGGGAGAGUAAAUUGUGCUGUUGAAGCCACCACAUUUGUGGUGAUCUGUUCCAGCUGCAGUAGGAAGCUCGUAUGCUUGGCAGUUCUGAUUGUGAACUCACCUUUAUGUUGGAGAUUCCUUUACACAUAAGUCCCCUUAUCCACAGCGGACAAAUUCCAUGACCCCCAGUGGAUGCCUGAAAUCGCGGAGAGUACUGAAUCCUACAUAUAAUGUGUUCUUUCCUAUAUGUAUAUGUAUAUAUCUAUAUCUAUGAUACAGUCUAAUUUAUAAAUUAGGCACAGUGAGAGAUUAACAACAAUAACUAAUAGUAAAAUAGGACAAUGAUGACAAUAUAAUGUAAUAAAAGUUUUGUGAAUAUGGUCUCUCUUCUCUCUCAAAAAAAAAAAAAAAAAAAAAAAAA